RNAcentral lists this ribosomal RNA (486 nucleotides) under uncultured bacterium. RNAcentral describes it as "partial 16S ribosomal RNA". It matches the Rfam family "Bacterial small subunit ribosomal RNA", at positions 28 to 507 of the family's 1533-position model. The record is from RNAcentral.
GAUGAACGCUGGCGGCGUGCCUAAUACAUGCAAGUCGAACGCUGGAGAUCUAGCUUGCUAGAUCGAAGGAGUGGCGAACGGGUGAGUAGUACAUAAGCAACCUACCCACGAAGACUGGGAUAAUCUCUGGAAACGGGGACUAAUACCGGAUAGGUAAUCGGAAGGCAUCUUCUGGUUAUUAAAGGUUAAAAACACUGGUGGAUGGGCUUAUGGCGCAUUAGUUAGUUGGUGAGGUAACGGCCCACCAAGACGAUGAUGCGUAGCCGGCCUGAGAGGGUGAACGGCCACAUUGGGACUGAGACACGGCCCAGACUCCUACGGGAGGCAGCAGUAGGGAAUUUUCGGCAAUGGGGGCAACCCUGACCGAGCAACGCCGCGUGAGUGAAGACGGCCUUCGGGUUGUAAAGCUCUGUUGUAAGGGAAGAACGGUAGAUAGAGAAUAUCUAAGUGACGGUACCUUACCAGAAAGCCACGGCUAACUACGUG